GCCUUCUUAGCUCAGUGGUAGAGCGCGUGGCUUUUAACCACGUGGUUGUUGGUUUGAUCCCCCACAGACGGUG
Molecule: transfer RNA, 73 nt
Organism: Ipomoea nil (Japanese morning glory)
Lineage: Eukaryota; Viridiplantae; Streptophyta; Magnoliopsida; Solanales; Convolvulaceae
Rfam family: tRNA
About the family: Transfer RNA (tRNA) molecules are approximately 80 nucleotides in length. Their secondary structure includes four short double-helical elements and three loops (D, anti-codon, and T loops).
Source: Rfam